UUAUAUCUCUGUACGGGAAGGAUGAGAAGCUUCGACCAAGGUUCGAUUCGAGCGUCAGCGAGAAAGCGUUGCCGCAGGCAACGACCCGAAGGGCGAAGCGCGCAGCGCUGAGUCAUCCUUCCCCCACCACCA
RNAcentral lists this small RNA (132 nucleotides) under Salmonella enterica. Its description in RNAcentral is "RtT sRNA". It matches the Rfam family "RtT RNA". From Rfam's summary of the family: This family represents a bacterial cis-regulatory element known as RtT RNA. The exact function of RtT is unknown although it is thought that it may be involved in changing the cellular response in relation to amino acid starvation. Lineage: Bacteria; Pseudomonadati; Pseudomonadota; Gammaproteobacteria; Enterobacterales; Enterobacteriaceae. The record is from RNAcentral.